RNAcentral lists this ribosomal RNA (373 nucleotides) under uncultured bacterium. RNAcentral describes it as "bacterial SSU rRNA". It matches the Rfam family "Bacterial small subunit ribosomal RNA", at positions 29 to 416 of the family's 1533-position model. The record is from RNAcentral.
AACGAACGCUGGCGGCAGGCUUAACACAUGCAAGUCGAACGAGCUGGGGCCUUCGGGUCCCGAUGCUAGUGGCGCACGGGUGAGUAACGCGUGGGAACGUACCCUUUAGUACGGAAUAACUGAGGGAAACUUCAGCUAAUACCGUAUACGCCCUUCGGGGAAGAUUAUCGCUAAAGGAAUCGGCCCGCCGUCUGAUUAGGUAGUUGGUGAGGUAAUGGCUCACCAGGCCUACGAUCAGUAGCUGGUCUGAGAGGAUGAUCAGCCACACUGGGACUGAGACACGGCCCAGACUCCUACGGGAGGCAGCAGUGGGGAAGUAUUGGACAAUGGGGGAAACCCGUGAUCCAGCCAUGCCGCGUGAGUGAAGAAGGCC